GGUGGAGCGGCGGACGGGUUAGUAACGCGUGGGAAUAUACCCUUCACUAUGGAAUAGCCUCGGGAAACUGAGAGUAAUACCAUAUACGCCCUUCGGGGGAAAGAUUUAUCGGUGAAGGAUUAGCCCGCGUAAGAUUAGAUAGUUGGUGGGGUAAUGGCCUACCAAGUCUACGAUCUUUAGCUGGUUUUAGAGGAUGAUCAGCAACACUGGGACUGAGACACGGCCCAGACUCCUACGGGAGGCAGCAGUGGGGAAUCUUAGACAAUGGGCGCAAGCCUGAUCUAGCCAUGCCGCGUGAGUGAUGAAGGUCUUAGGAUCGUAAAGCUCUUUCGCUAGGGAUGAUAAUGACAGUACCUAGUAAAGAAGCCCCGGCUAACUCCGUGCCAGCAGCCGCGGUAAUACGGAGGGGGCUAGCGUUGUUCGGAAUUACUGGGCGUAAAGCGUACGUAGGCGGAUCAGAAAGUAUGGGGUGAAAUCCCAGGGCUUAACCCUGGAACUGCCUCAUAAACUCCUGGUCUUGA
Molecule: ribosomal RNA, 521 nt
Filed under: uncultured Phaeobacter sp.
Lineage: Bacteria; Pseudomonadati; Pseudomonadota; Alphaproteobacteria; Rhodobacterales; Roseobacteraceae
Description: bacterial SSU rRNA
Rfam family: Bacterial small subunit ribosomal RNA
Source: RNAcentral